RNAcentral lists this small nucleolar RNA (124 nucleotides) under Echinops telfairi (small Madagascar hedgehog). Its description in RNAcentral is "Small nucleolar RNA SNORA61 (ENSETEG00000024071.1)". The record is from RNAcentral. Lineage: Eukaryota; Metazoa; Chordata; Mammalia; Afrosoricida; Tenrecidae.
ACCCUCUAAAUUCCUUACCCAUCAAAUCUAAACCUUGGUCUCAGUGGUUAUAAAAAGGGAAAAAGUAAUACAGAAACUGAACUAAAUUCUUUGGUGACACCAGCUAGUUAAAAGAUAUAUAUCU